Molecule: ribosomal RNA, 790 nt
Filed under: Acinetobacter baumannii
Lineage: Bacteria; Pseudomonadati; Pseudomonadota; Gammaproteobacteria; Moraxellales; Moraxellaceae
Description: partial 23S ribosomal RNA
Rfam family: Bacterial large subunit ribosomal RNA
Source: RNAcentral
GAAGCUGGAACGCUAGUUCCAGUGGAGCCGUCCUUGAAAUACCACCCUGGUAAUGUUGAGGUUCUAACUCUGUCCCGUGAUCCGGGACGAGGACCGUGUCUGGUGGGUAGUUUGACUGGGGCGGUCUCCUCCUAAAGAGUAACGGAGGAGUACGAAGGUGCGCUCAGCGUGGUCGGAAAUCACGCGUAGAGUAUAAAGGCAAAAGCGCGCUUAACUGCGAGACCCACAAGUCGAGCAGGUACGAAAGUAGGUCUUAGUGAUCCGGUGGUUCUGUAUGGAAGGGCCAUCGCUCAACGGAUAAAAGGUACUCUGGGGAUAACAGGCUGAUACCGCCCAAGAGUUCAUAUCGACGGCGGUGUUUGGCACCUCGAUGUCGGCUCAUCUCAUCCUGGGGCUGAAGCAGGUCCCAAGGGUAUGGCUGUUCGCCAUUUAAAGAGGUACGCGAGCUGGGUUUAGAACGUCGUGAGACAGUUCGGUCCCUAUCUACCGUGGGCGCUGGAAAUUUGAGAGGAUCUGCUCCUAGUACGAGAGGACCAGAGUGGACGAACCUCUGGUGUACCGGUUGUGACGCCAGUCGCAUCGCCGGGUAGCUAUGUUCGGAAGGGAUAACCGCUGAAAGCAUCUAAGCGGGAAGCCUACCUCAAGAUAAGAUUUCCCUAGGACUUUAUGUCCUCUAAAGAGCCGUUCGAGACUAGGACGUUGAUAGGUUGGAUGUGGAAGCAUAGUGAUAUGUGAAGCUGACCAAUACUAAUUGCUCGUGAGGCUUGACUAUACAACACCCAAGCAGUUG